RNAcentral lists this ribosomal RNA (505 nucleotides) under uncultured bacterium. RNAcentral's name for it is "partial 16S ribosomal RNA". It matches the Rfam family "Bacterial small subunit ribosomal RNA", at positions 28 to 507 of the family's 1533-position model. The record is from RNAcentral.
GACGAACGCUGGCGGCGUGCCUAAUACAUGCAAGUAGAACGCACAGUUUAUACCGUAGCUUGCUACACCAUAGACUGUGAGUUGCGAACGGGUGAGUAACGCGUAGGUAACCUGCCUGGUAGCGGGGGAUAACUAUUGGAAACGAUAGCUAAUACCGCAUAAUAUUAAUUAUUGCAUGAUAAUUAAUUGAAAGGUGCAAUUGCACCACUACCAGAUGGACCUGCGUUGUAUUAGCUAGUAGGUGAGGUAACGGCUCACCUAGGCGACGAUACAUAGCCGACCUGAGAGGGUGAUCGGCCACACUGGGACUGAGACACGGCCCAGACUCCUACGGGAGGCAGCAGUAGGGAAUCUUCGGCAAUGGACGAAAGUCUGACCGAGCAACGCCGCGUGAGUGAAGAAGGUUUUCAGAUCGUAAAGCUCUGUUGUAAGAGAAGAACGGGUGUGAGAGUGGAAAGUUCACACUGUGACGGUAUCUUACCAGAAAGGGACGGCUAACUACGUG